UGGAAUACAGUCUUACACAUGCGUUU
RNAcentral lists this non-coding RNA (26 nucleotides) under Rattus norvegicus (Norway rat). The record is from RNAcentral. Lineage: Eukaryota; Metazoa; Chordata; Mammalia; Rodentia; Muridae.